CAGUUAUGACCUGGCACACUGUAAAUACAAAUUUUACUCCACAAGGAGAGGUUUUCUGCUGGGAGUAAAACAGUAUCAAGUCAACAGCAGAUUCUCCUGAAGUUUGUAGUUCAUCUUAUUGACUAACCUUGACAAUCAGCCCAGAGAUCAUCAUCUAUUUCAGCAAAAAUUGGUGGCACAACUUCAAAGUCAGCAAAAUAUGGAGUUGCCAUGGUUCAACAGUAUAGCCAGUAGAA
Molecule: long non-coding RNA, 236 nt
Organism: Physella acuta
Lineage: Eukaryota; Metazoa; Mollusca; Gastropoda; Physidae
Source: RefSeq, a predicted model, not a curated record